GUCCACGCCCUAAACGAUGUCAACUGGUUGUUGGGUCUUCACUGACUCAGUAACGAAGCUAACGCGUGAAGUUGACCGCCUGGGGAGUACGGCCGCAAGAUUAAAACUCAAAGAAAUUGACGGGACCCGCACAAGCGGUGGAUGAUGUGGAUUAAUUCGAUGCAACGCGAAAACCUUACCCACCUUUGACAUGUACGGAAGUCGCUAGAGAUAGCUUCGUGCUCGAAAGAGAACCGUAACACAGGUGCUGCAUGGCUGUCGU
This 262-nucleotide ribosomal RNA is filed under the name uncultured bacterium. RNAcentral describes it as "partial 16S ribosomal RNA". It matches the Rfam family "Bacterial small subunit ribosomal RNA", at positions 793 to 1055 of the family's 1533-position model. The record is from RNAcentral.